GGUUAACGCUGGCGGCAUGCCUAAUACAUGCAAGUCGGACGAGGGUAGCAAUACCCUAGUGGCGAACGGGUGAGUAACACGUGGGAAAUCUGCCUUUAAGUCGAGGAUAACUGCUGGAAACGGCAGCUAAAACUGGAUAGGUUAUAUUGGGGCAUCCUGAUAUAAUUAAAAGUCCUUUACGGGAAUGCUUAAAGAUGAUCCUGCGUCGCAUUAGCUAGUUGGUGAGGUAGCGGCUCACCAAGGCGACGAUGCGUAGCUGUGCUGAGAGGCAAAACAGCCACACUGGGACUGAGACACGGCCCAGACUCCUACGGGAGGCAGCAGUAGGGAAUUUUCGGCAAUGGGGGAAACCCUGACCGAGCAAUGCCGCGUGAAUGAAGAAGGUCUUCGGACUGUAAAAUUCUGUUAUUUGUGGAAGAAAGGUAGUUGGAGGAAAUGCCAAUUACUUGACGGUACCAAAUGAGAAAGCCCCGGCUAACUAUGUGCCAGCAGCCGACGGUAAACAUUAA
This 509-nucleotide ribosomal RNA is filed under the name uncultured bacterium. RNAcentral describes it as "bacterial SSU rRNA". It matches the Rfam family "Bacterial small subunit ribosomal RNA", at positions 28 to 530 of the family's 1533-position model. The record is from RNAcentral.